This 467-nucleotide ribosomal RNA is filed under the name uncultured bacterium. RNAcentral's name for it is "partial 16S ribosomal RNA". It matches the Rfam family "Bacterial small subunit ribosomal RNA", at positions 28 to 506 of the family's 1533-position model. The record is from RNAcentral.
GACGAACGCUGGCGGCGUGCUUAACACAUGCAAGUCGAACGGAAAGGCCCUGCUUUUGUGGGGUGCUCGAGUGGCGAACGGGUGAGUAACACGUGAGUAACCUGCCCUUGACUUUGGGAUAACUUCAGGAAACUGGGGCUAAUACCGGAUAGGAGCUCCUGCUGCAUGGUGGGGGUUGGAAAGUUUCGGCGGUUGGGGAUGGACUCGCGGCUUAUCAGCUUGUUGGUGGGGUAGUGGCUUACCAAGGCUUUGACGGGUAGCCGGCCUGAGAGGGUGACCGGCCACAUUGGGACUGGGAAACGGCCCAGACUCCUACGGGGGGAAGCAGGGGGGAAUAUUGCAAAAUGGGCGGAAGCCUGAUGCAGCAACCCCGCGUGCGGGAUGACGGCCUUCGGGUUGUAAACCUCUUUCGCCUGUGACGAAGCGUGGGUGACGGUAAUGGGGAAAGAAACACCGGCUAACUACGU